UGGCGCCCCCUCGCGGCACGCGGCGAGAGCGGAGGGCCGAAGUAAAUGAAUACCGCGCGUGGCGGAGAGCAGCCGUCGGGCGGGAGGAGGUGGGGAUGGGAGCGGAGGGACGGGCGUGGGCCGGUCAUCUUCCGGUAGCAGCCGCGUUGUGGGAUGCUGCCACAGGAGUCUCCAUAUGGUUUGUGUCAUUGCCCCAGGACAAAAGAGACAUCCAGGAUUUGGACAGAGUUUCUGCUGCUGUUCUUCCAAAGCCUCCAUCCCAGCUGCUCACAUCAGAAACAAAGCGAGGCCCUAACCCUUGGCAAUUCCUAGCAGCAGAAAGGGCCACCAGAGCUAGCGGUUAGUAAGGAGUAACCACUUAAAUAUAAAGCAAAUAUUCCUCAAGCUUCUUCAAUCUGUUCAAAGGAUUGUUGUACUGCUUACCAGCCUUGGUAUUAGCAAGGGGCAAAAUUGGUCAUUACUGUAAUUUGGUCAGUUGCUUGACUCCAGAUUCGUCUUACCAGACGUCAUUUUGCUCCUGUAGUAGCCUCAAGUGUUCUGUUCUUCUGUAUAUAUGUAAAUAUAUGAUGAAGAGUGACCCAGCCAUCUCAUUUGGCUUGCAUUUUGGAAAUAGAAAAUAGAAUCAUAGAGGUUGGAAGGGACCCCUGGAGGUCCAUCUCUCUGCUAAAGCAGAUUUCCUGGAGUAGGUUGGUUGUGUAGGAAAGCAUCUGAUUCUGUGUAUCUCCAGAGAAGGGGACUCUACUACCUCUCUGGGCAGCCUGUUCCAGUGCUCUGUCACCCAAACAGUAAUGAAGUUUGUAUGAAACUGCCUAUGUUCCUGUUUGUGCCCAUCGCCCUUUGUCCUGCUGCUUGGCACCACUAAGAGCCUGGCUCCAUCCACUUGACUUGACUCACCGUUAUAGGUAGUCUUUUUCAGUAUUAUCACUAAGUGGCAGGAGUAAGCCCUUGGCUAUUUUUGGUGAACCUGAGUAGGUAGCACGAUUAUGAAAUGCAUUGUGAGAACAAGCUUCACAUUGUUUAAGAAAAAGAAAAAAAAAAAUCUGUGCUGUAAGGGAUGAUAGGAGGAAGGAGGGGUAGGAACCACUUAUGCUUGUCUUCAGUAUAUCCAUAACUAACCGGUUCUCUUCCGCCCUUCAUGUAGUGACACUCUAGUGAAAAACUGUUUCCUUCUGUUACUUUUAUACAAUUUGCAGGCCAUUAUUUGACCAUAAACACAUAACCUUACUGUAAAUGGGAGCCUUGAAGACAGAUUUGCUUGUGUCUAGUAAUUUGAGUAGCACUGAGGAACAGCUACAAUAUGCCUUAAAGGCCCAGCAGAUGUAUCUGCAUUGUUCAGGAUGAAAAUUUUACUCAGUGAUUUUCGGGGUGGGUAUUUCUUAAGUUCUUUGCAUGUCUCUGGGAGGACUUGUGUAUACCUGCUUGAUUUCAUGGCUGCUGAGUUCAAAAAUGCCGUGCAGGACUUGGGCAGCCAUGAAUUAGUGUACAGACUGAGGAGACAUGAAAAUGAGGAGAUAGGCUUGGCUGUAGAAAGAUUUUUGCUGUCAGUCUGAAUGAAAUAACACUGUGGGACUGGAAACAGCAGGCACUGUCAGAUAGAAAGGAUUAAAAGGCUUUUUAGCGUGGCUUAGUAGUGUACAGAAGAUUGGCUUACUUGUGAUAGAUCUUCUUUUGUCGCAUUGAUCUUUAUUUCGCAUUGUGCUUAAUACAACAAAAACUGGAGUCUGACGUAUUCUUUCAUGAAUCGUCUCACACAAUGUGUGCCUUCUAUUACUUACAAAAAUCUUUUUUUUUUUUAAGAAAUUGAUUUUUUUUUUUUUUUUUUUUUUGCCACUAUAGCCAAUGUUGAGUCAUAGUUGAACAAUACGGAGUUGUAAUAAUUUUAUGAUCACUGUAUGUGGCCAUGUUGAUGAGAGGAAGGCUAUGAUAGAAUGAGCUACACUACUUUAUAUUACUUUCCUGUAUGGAUGUAUCGAUCUAACAUAAUAGGGAGCUAGCUGAUGAAGGAAUAAAAGGCAAUUCAAUGGUUCCCUGUGUCAGCUGUAUGACUAAACCCAUGAGGUGGUAAUUACAGGAUGAUAGCUCCCAUUCCAGGGGAUGCAGCUGGCUUGUCAGGCUGGAAACUAGAAAUGAGGGAAGGAUGAUGUUGGCAGAGGCUGACAAAGGAAAUUAUUUGACACAGAGCAAGACUUAGCAAGAAAGGCUGGAAGAAGCUGGGCCUUCCUUUUGCCAGCACUGGAGCGGUAGGUAUGACAUACAGAAGGGAAGGUGUGUGUGUUGACUGGUUUAUUGUUUUUAAGAUUUAUUUUGUCUUAAAUGGUUGGUGCUAAGUGUUUUGUGAUUGGUGCUUACUGUCUUUACUUCAUGAGAGACUAAAACUGCAAGGCCUGGGUCUUUCUUGAAUCUGCAGAGGUAAUCAUGGCUCAUACACCGGGGAAGCAACCUGAGAACUGCUCUGCCUGUAGCUAAAGACGACAGUGUGAGAUCUGGGGGAACAGUUAGCUGAUCUCUUGUGAGAACAAAACGCAAACCCAUGAGUUCUGCUUCUUCAUCUUUGAGAAUGAUUUUGUGCUUAAGUAGUUUAUAGAACAAUGGGCAUGCUUUCAGACAGACUUAAGCUUGGUGUUUGGAUGUUUUGUUUUUCUUUUUUAUGACAUAGUUAAAAACACAGUAUCUGAAGAAAAAAUAUUGCAUAAAUAAUGGUAAAUAUCAGUUAUGCCUAAAAUACGGGCUAGCUGCUGCAACUGAACGAUAAUACAGCAAAAGUAGGUUUUAUUUUGUUCUCUUCUAUUCACUGUUUAUUGUACAGCUGUUCUCACCACUUACCAUAUAUAAUCAAUUGGUUGUCUCCUGCUGCUAAUAUGGAUAUUUAGUACAUUGAAAUUGAAAAAAGACAUUUUUUGUGGUAAGGAAAAUGCAGCUAAAAAACUUGUCUUUUCAGAGGAUGGAAGGUUGUGCCGUGUUUUAUGCUAAUAAAACAGCUAUUAAUGGCUUUGUGCUUCAUAUUCUUGUCUACCAUCCACGCAUACAGUUAUCCACCAUAUGUCGGGUGUUUUAUAAGGUGAGUGCUAGGAGCAGGAGGUGCAACAUAGCUGCUUGUGUCCAUUCCCCCUCCAGGAGUGGGUGAGCAGCACCAGGCACAGGUUUGUAAGCACUUAAUGGAAGAAGGGUAGAUGCCAUUGGUAAGAGUGGUCUGGCAUAAACAGGAAUCCCAGACCUUCCCUUCAGUGUCUUUGGUCUGAGGUGUUUGUCUGGCGGUUGUUUUCUUUGUAUGUGUUUGAGAUCAAAGGAGAAUAUGGUACUUCAAACAAAAUGUGCAAGGGCCCACCCUUCCUGAAUUGCACUUUUGAUAAUAUGUUCAGUCCUGCUGCUGUAAUACUCCACAGAAGGGUUUUUUCUUUCUUUUUUUUUAAUAAACUCCACUCCUUUUUAAUAUAUGUCACAAGAGAAUUUUAAUAGAUGUUUUUGUAAGAUUACUUUACAGUCUCUGAUCCUACACUUCUUUCCACGUAGUCUGUAAGAGGAGCCAGCAGCUUUAACUCAUCAGAAGUUUGUGUGAUGUAUUACUUACAGUGGAUGUAGGUGCCAGAAGUGACCUGUAAACCUAAUACUAAAUUGGGACUACAAAAUUAAUUUCACUUAGAUUGUGGAGAUUAGACUAGAAAUAAAAUUCCUCUGGGAGCUGUGUAAACCUUGACAUUGAUUUAAUGUAAUUCUUUCCUUAAGAGGGUAACUUUAAAUUGUAUAACAAUACAUAGUUUUAACCAGCACAUAUUUCUAGCAAAUUGUGCAGCAAGACAAGUAUUAACAGGAACAUUCAGUGGUAUUUCUGAAUUUAAAGAUCAGUGUGUAGCUCUGUGGAUGCUGACAAGAGGGUCAGAUGUCAUACCCCUCCCUCCUCCUCUGUCCCCCCACCUGAUCAGAUAGGUCAAGUUAUAAAGCCCGUGUGUCAUUGCCAAGCAUCUCCAUUCAGUCCAUAAAUUGUAAUUUAUAAUAUACAAAUUAUAUCCAAAUCACACUAAUUUACCCUGACUGGGGAGAAUUUGUUAACUUGGAUCCAGCAAUUAAAGGUCUGAUUAGCUCCAGAACAAAAAUGUUUAUUGUGUUACGGAAUGGCAAGUGAGUGUUUGUUUUAUGCCUUAAUUUAGACUGAAAUUAUUCUGAAUCAUUCAAAUGUUUAUUUUUGCUCUGGAUGACAGCAUAUUCUAUACUAAAAAGCAUAUUUUCUUCUUGAGAUGUAGAAAUAUUUUGUUGUUUUUAAAGGGAACAUGUAUAGGUCUCUUUCUUCAGGUUAUUGCCUGAGCAGGCUGUUUGUACAAGUCUGAUUUAACAUAUGCACUGUCUUUGCACGAGAGCUCAUGCAUUAGAUUACAUUUGCAAGGGAGAAUUUUGAGUACUUAACCUUAAUUUCACCUAUUAAAACACUAAUUUUGAAUGUUAUACUUUAAGUAACUUGGAAUACCCUGACACCCUGUAAAAUAUUUGACAAUGUUUUAAGCAGUAAGAGCACUCUGAAUGUUCGGUCAUCUCAAAUUUGCUUCAAAUUUUCUGGCAUCUGUUACUGACCAAGUCUUCUGUAUUAUUUAACAUUGUAUUGCCAUGGUCCUUUGCUAAGCAUGUAGGUGCAGAAGCAGUUCUAACAACUGACUGCAAUCAGAGUACAGCUGCACACCAGACCUUAAUCAUUUCAGUUAUUCUAAGUAACUGCUUACAGUCUGCCUUCUGCAACACCUCAUUCAUUUGAGCCACUGUUAAACAUUCUCUUGUAUGAGAAGAGUUUUUAAAAUGAAUUACUUCUUCCAGACGUGGAAUAUGGUGAUAGCAGGUAGCCCUUGUGUUCUUCCUCCCUUCUGCAUGCUUAGGGCUAAUCUUCUGAUCUUGUUAGUUUCUUUUAAUCUCUAAAUUGUCUGUAUGUCCUCCCAAGACAGCUCUGCCCUUUCCUUUCCUUGAUGAUUUCAAGUUGUUUGUUCUUUCCAAGGUUAACUGUCAAGGGACAAGCUUUAAGAUCAUGCAUAUUUCCCCUACUGUAGUUAUUUGCAAGGAAAAGUAAGCUAUGAUGAAUGAGCAUCCACACUAAAAUAGAAAAUUGCAUACGAAAACCUACCACCCCCAAGGACCUGAAAGGGCUUUUGGCAGCUAAAAAAAUACGCAUGUUCUCCUAACUCAUGAUAAAUAAAGGGACAGGAAGUAAAUUUUGCAGAAAUACAGUUUGAAAAAUUAACACCUACAUUUAAAAUU
This is a long non-coding RNA of Centrocercus urophasianus (Greater sage-grouse), 5235 nucleotides long. RefSeq lists it as uncharacterized. NCBI's taxonomy places the organism in Eukaryota, Metazoa, Chordata, Aves, Galliformes, Phasianidae. The record is from RefSeq and is a predicted model, not a curated record. The transcript has 2 exons.